Oreochromis niloticus (Nile tilapia) is the source of this 902-nucleotide RNA transcript. It is a transcript of the gene named myelin-oligodendrocyte glycoprotein, with no coding region annotated. The record is from RefSeq and is a predicted model, not a curated record. The transcript has 5 exons. Lineage: Eukaryota; Metazoa; Chordata; Actinopteri; Cichliformes; Cichlidae.
AAAACAAACGCACCCGUUUUCACACUCGGACACUUUCAGCUUGUUUUAAAAACUCUUCUUGAAUCUCCUCGUCAGGAUUAAACUGGGAUGUUCUGUUCUCGGCAAAUCUCACCAUCCUUUGGAUAUUUAGCGGACUGAAGAGUCGGAUCAGCAGAACAAUGUGGAGGAAACGGCUGCUGGGACAUUGGAGCGUCUCUGCUGGACUUAUAGUCUGUGUCUGCAGGAGGCAGCAUGUAUCCGAGCUGAAGGGAACACAUUCAUCCAUCAAUGCAGGAGGUAGUUUAAAGCAAAGAGGGACCAGCGACUGGACAUCAAACACAUCAUCACAGAUGUGUGUUCAGCUCUGCAGCAGGAUGUGCAGGCGAAGCUUGGAGCUGACGUCACUCUCCAGUGUCAGAUUUCCACAGAUGAAAGAAUCUCAGUGCUGAAGUGGAGCAGACCUGACCUGAACACAGACGGCUACGUCUACUUCUACAGGAACAAACGCUCCUAUGAAAACUACCAACAUCCAUCUUUUCAUGGAAGAGUGAAGCUGAGGGACCCGGAGAUGAAGGAUGGAGACGUUUCACUGAUCCUGAACAACGUCACGUUUAAUGACACUGGGAUGUAUGAGUGUCACAUAGCAUUGAGGAAGCCUGUGAGAAGUAAAAGAGCUCACACUGAGAUCAGUCACUUCAUCAACCUCACAGUCACAGGUGAAAUGGAUAAAACCAUGUCGGAGCAGCAGCUGAAGGAAAAAGGAGCUACAGACGGAAACAUGUAUGAUAGAAAAACAGAAACUCUGAGUGUUCAGGUUGUUGUUGUUGUUAUUGUUCUCGUCACUACUGUCAUUGGGUUUAUGGCAUUUUUGAGAUUUAAAAGAAGUAAGGAGCAGUUCAUAGCCAAGCCUAGUGAUGAGAGUG